This 301-nucleotide ribosomal RNA is filed under the name uncultured bacterium. Its description in RNAcentral is "partial 16S ribosomal RNA". It matches the Rfam family "Bacterial small subunit ribosomal RNA", at positions 509 to 809 of the family's 1533-position model. The record is from RNAcentral.
CAGUAGCCUCGGGAAUACAGAGGGUGCGAGCGUUAAUCGGAUUUACUGGGCGUAAAGCGUGCGUAGGCGGCUUCUUAAGUCGGAUGUGAAAUCCCUGAGCUUAACUUAGGAAUUGCAUUCGAUACUGGGAAGCUAGAGUAUGGGAGAGGAUGGUAGAAUUCCAGGUGUAGCGGUGAAAUGCGUAGAGAUCUGGAGGAAUACCGAUGGCGAAGGCAGCCAUCUGGCCUAAUACUGACGCUGAGGUACGAAAGCAUGGGGAGCAAACUGGAUUAGAUACCCGUGUAGUCCCUGUCUCUUAUAA